GGGGUUUCAGUCACUUCCCUUCCGGGUGGUUUGGUUCUCGCCUUUUCUUUGGCUGUGGAGGCAAGAUCUAACACGAGAUGGAAACUGUUCCAGAAAAAGAACUACAUGAAGAACUUAUUGCUGGCAAAUCUGGCAACAAAUUGCAAGUGACAGCCAGGUUAAGACUCCAUGAAAAAAAGUUAUCAGUUCCACCCCGACAAGGUGAUUUUCCUAACUAGGUUGGAGCAGGCAUAUCUUGUCACAAUUAAGAGGUUUCUCUCUCGAGUAUAAUUUGCAGUGGUCACUAAGUGUUGAUCUACGACUGAAGCCUUUUCCACAUUGCUCACGUGUGAAUGGCUUCUCUACAGUGCAGGGAAUCUCUGAUGAGUUUGCAGACAUGAACUCUGACGAAAUUCAUACUUAACAUCAUUUUCUCCCAUGUGACAUCUGAUGAAUGCAGAGUGCUAAACUGUCAAAGAAGUGUUUCCCACACUCCUGACAUGUAUGAGAAUUCUCUCCUGAGUUUAACUGUUGAUGAAGAUCCAAGUUGGAAAAAUCGCUGAAGAACGUUUACACUCAUUUCCUUGGAAAGGUUUCUUAGGACUCAUACUUCUUCCCUCACACAUUACACCAACUCAUCCCUAUUAAGCGGGAGCUAGCUCAUCUACAUCCUGUUUGUCCUCAUGUGGCCAGAGGGUGGCCAACACCUCAGCUCAUCACUUGGGGAGCUGGCAACACUGGGGCAAUGGAGCUGACAAACCCUUGCAUUUCCACCAUGCCGUACUAUGUUUCCUUCAUGGCCCUGCUCACUGGGCCAAGCUGUAAGGCAGAUAACUGGUGCAUUGUACUCUAUUCCCAUGGGAUUGAUAAUCAGUGCAUAAUAACCCACUCCACCAGCAUCUCCUUGGCAAGUUCUAUUUAUGGACAUGUGGCUUGUGAUUGGCAGUUGGUUCACUGCCAGUGGCAUCUGUCCCAGAAGAAUAUAAAACUUUGUUCACUGAA
Sus scrofa (pig) is the source of this 981-nucleotide non-coding RNA. NCBI's taxonomy places the organism in Eukaryota, Metazoa, Chordata, Mammalia, Artiodactyla, Suidae. The record is from RefSeq and is a predicted model, not a curated record.